CCUGCCUAACUAGUUAUCUAAAUAUAUAUGUUUCAUAUAUUUCUGAUUUCUCUCUCAUUUAUUUCUGACUUCAACUCUAUGGGACUUUGGAAGCCCAUUAUACAUGCAAGGACACAGAAGCCUGAGAAAAGUUAAAUAACUUUUCCAAAGUCACACAACUGAAAAGAAAACGUGAUAAUAAAGCAUUGUAAUAGAGCUUCUUGCAAAUUGGUAAACUCCUGGAGGAUUUGCUAGACCACCAUUCACGGAGCAAAGGCUGUACUUAAAUGCUGGAAGGAGGAAGAUUGCCAUUCUGUUUAGGGGCAUAACAGUAUUUACAAAUUAGCACAGCAUUCAGAACAGUAGCACCUGGAGUCUGGGGAGCCUAUUCUGAAAUGAAAUCAUCCAAAUUACUCUUACAUCAGUAUAGCUACACAUCUAGACAUUUUGAUAAUUCCUUCAGGAGUCCUGUGAUUCUGGAAAAACAAGCAAGAGAGUCAAAUUGUCUAAACGUAAUUUCUGCUUUCAUGGAUCACAAACAAGAAAGUGAACACAAAGGUCUGGCUAUGUUUUUGGAAGAGAAGAAGGAAAACUCCAAGAAGGGCAAAACAAAUAGAUGUUUUAGAAAAUUAUCUCAUAUAUUUGGACUUUGGGCAUGUGGGCGAAACCCUCCCCUAAACAGUGUAUGCUUAAUUCUGGAGCUCUGAGGGGGUUGGAACAUGAAAUCAGGGGCCCAGAUAAUUAUGAUUGAUUUUAGAUUUUAAGUGAAAUUUCAGGUGUUGGUCCAGUCUAUCCAUUCAGCUCAGUAAAAAACCAACAGAGAUAGUGACUCAAGGUUCUUCUUCUGGCCAAGAAUGAAGUCAGUGCGUUGGGUUGGUGCAUCCCUAAGGUGUAUCUCUUGGGAAUUAGUGUUUCCUACAAACUCCAGCCUAGGCCCCUGGAAGACCUGCUUGCUGCUCCAGACACACUUAACAUAUUGACAAAAUUAAACAUGUUCACAGGUGAGCUUCUUCCUUCCUUCAUAUAUUCACUUAUUCAUUCAACAAAUUAUUUGUUGAGUGCCAUGCACUGUACUAGGUGCUGGGUGUGCACUGGUGCCUAAAAUAGACGUGGGGUUUUCCUUUGGAACUUAUGAUCUAGUGGGCAAGGAUAUCCAAUAUACAAGAAAACAAUAUAAAUUACAAAUUGUGCUAAGGGAGUGAACACAGAGAAUGAGAAGGACACUCAAAGAACCUAAAACACAAUUGUGUCUAGAAAGACUAAAGGAAUUAGGAAGAUUGUUGUCUUUUUCAUAGAAGUAUCAGAAGAAGUUCUUACCUAUGUGUAAACUUUAGAGGAUGUUGUAUGAAAAAAGUGCUUUUUAUUCUUCAUUAAUACUAAGGAGUUGAGCUGGCAUUAAAACCUGCAAGUUUUGAGGAGAUCUGUGUUGGAUUCACCUGAUGAAGAAUUUUUGUGCUGUGAAAGAAUGGAAUGAGUUGUUCAGGGAGGGUCAGAUCAUCAUCAGUUCGCUUGAUUAAAAACAGACAUAAUUACUGCUCAAUAGUAAAAAAAAAAAAAAGUAAAUAUGCCACAUGAAUGAGUCUCAAAAGCAUAGCGCUGAGUGAAAGAUGCCUUAUACAAAAGGCUACUUAUUGUAUGAUUCCAUUAACUUGAAACUCUAGAUUAGGCUUAAUUAAUCACUGGGGGAUAACUGGGACAAUCAUUGCCUGGGGAGGGGCAGUGCAGUGGGGCUGGAAUUAACAAGGAAGGUGCGUGAGGGAACUUUCCUCACGGUAUAGAUAAUGGGCAUGUUCUAUACCUUGACAGAGAUUUGGCUCACACAGAUAUGCCCAUUGGCAGUACACAGCCAGUUGUUCAUUUAGUAUGUUUGCAUGUCACUAGACACACAUUUUAUCUAAAGUAAAUAAGGAAAAAUUGAGGAGGGAAGGAAGGAAGGAAGCAAAGGGAGAGAAGGAAGGAAGAAAAAAGAAAAAGGGUAAACACAACUAAGGAAGGAAAGAAGAAAUGAAGAGAAAGAACCAAAACCAAACAAUAAGUUAAUGAUAUGCAUCCUGGAGUUUUAGGGGUGAAGUGUACUGAUGUCUGCAAUUUCUGCAUGACUCUGAAAUACAUGAAAAAGUAAGAUGACCUGAUGAAUGGGUAUUUAGCUACACAAAUAAUAAGGCAAAUACAACCAAAUAUUAACAAUUGUAGAAUCUAGGAAAUGAGUGUAUGGGGAUUCACUGUAUAAUUCUUUAGCUUUAGUGGUGUUUCUGUUUUGUUCUUAAAAUAUUAAGUAAAAAGUAGUCACUACUUAUUGAGGACUUACUAAAAUCUGUUAGUUGUUGUGCUAUGCAGUGUUGAUAUAUUGCCUCUCCUACUAAAGAGAAUAAUUCAUGGUGGAUAUUUAUUCUUUGUGGAUUAGUAAAUUUGUAAAUUGUAAAUUAGGAAACUGUGACUAAGACAAUUCAACGAACAUGUUCAGCACUGUAUGACUAAAUGGCGGGCCUAUCUGCUUGCAAAGUUUGCACCUGUGCUGUCUCAUAUGGUACCCACAGCCACACGUUGUGCUUGAGAACUGAAAUCUGGUUAGUUUGACUGAGGAACUGAAUUUAUGAUUUAAUUUUAAUUAGAAAAACAAUAUUCAAUUCAGUAAUUGGAAAACUCAAUUUAGUUACUGUAAAAUUUCAAGUAUGUUUGCAACAACUUGGAUAAGUGAAUCUAUAUUUUCAAUGCUAAAUUUUAUGAAAUCUAAGUACUGAUCAAAUAUUUUUUUUUUGAUACAGGAUCUUGCUCUGUUGCCCAGGCUAGAGUGCAAUGGCAUGAUCUUGGCUCACUGCAGCCUCCAACUCUUGGGUUCAAGCAAUUCUCCUGCCUCAGCCUCCUAUGUAGUUGGGACCACAGGUAUAUGCCACCAAGCCUGGCUAAUUUUCAAACUUUUUUUGUAAGACAAGUUCUCACUUUGUUGCCCAGGCUGGUCUCAAACUCCUGAGCUCUAGCCAUCAUCCAGCCUCGGCCUCCCAAAGUGCUGGGAUUACAGGUGUGAACUGCUGCACCUGGCCUCAUCAAGUAUUUAUUUAAAAAAAAUUGUUUUUGACACAAAGUCUCACUCUGUUGCCUGAGCUGGAGUACAGAGGUGUGAUCAUAGCUCACUGCAGCCUUGACCACCCAGGCUCAAGCAAUUCUCCUGCCUCAGCCUCCCAAGUAGCUGGGACUCCAAGUACAUGUGACCACACCCAGCUAAUUUUUUUUUUAAUAGAGAUGAAGUCUCUACAUUGCUCAAGAUGAUCUUGAACUCCUGAGUUCAAGGGAUUCUCCUACCUUAGCCAAAAUGCUGAGUUACAGGCAUGAGUCCACUGCAUCCAGCCUCUUAUCAAGUAUUUCUAAUGCAAACUUAGUAUCUAAAUCAUGUGUCUUACAUGUAAUGUAGACACAUUUUGAAGAUUUAUUGUGAAAAAAAAG
Long non-coding RNA from Callithrix jacchus (white-tufted-ear marmoset), 3420 nucleotides. NCBI's taxonomy places the organism in Eukaryota, Metazoa, Chordata, Mammalia, Primates, Cebidae. The record is from Ensembl.